Long non-coding RNA from Cavia porcellus (domestic guinea pig), 5529 nucleotides. RefSeq lists it as uncharacterized. The transcript is spliced from 3 exons. The record is from RefSeq and is a predicted model, not a curated record. NCBI's taxonomy places the organism in Eukaryota, Metazoa, Chordata, Mammalia, Rodentia, Caviidae.
CUGGCCACUGCCAAGGCUCAGACUGAAGAGUCCCCUGCCAGAGCAGUGCCAUCAUCUCCCCCAGUCCAACCCCUGAGGUGGAAGCCAAAUUUCCCACAACAAUAUGCAGCCCUGUGUCAUCUACCCAGGGGGCUGGAGUCUACCCCCAGACAUCAGAGCAGCUUGACAGAGAACUCAGCUGUUGCUGUCUCAGUGAAACCAGUGAUGUAGCUGUGUCAGGUGGCUGCUGACAUGAACAAGGAUGUGGAUAGAGGUUACUGCCAUCGGUUUCCACCCUGUGAGUUUUGGCUGAUGUCCUGGGACUGAGUCACUAUAUGUGGUGUGACGAAUCAUAAGGAAUCCUGCUGAGAUUUUACCACUGUGUAACCGUGUCCACACACACAUUACGCCUUGGAUACCAUCUCUGGAAAUCCAGUCUUCAGCACGCCGGGGUCUGUCACUCAGAAGACGCCUGAUGAGAGUUGUGAAGGGAUGACUGACCAUGGCAGUGUUCCGGGGCUCAGAAGAGGCAACUCAUACUUCAUGAUAGAAGUGGGAAAGAGAUCAGCAAGGACUUCCAGGACCAGGAAUCCAUCAUUUUUACUUCCCAACCAGUAUUGAAGUACCUUCACUUUUGGAAGUCCUUUGGAUGAUUAUACAUGGCAGACUCACGGAAUAUCCACCUGUAAUUAAUGCAGGGAAACUAUUCCAUCUUUAUGCAGAGGUAAGUGAUACUCUGAGACAAAUCAUACCUGUGGAGUGAAUUUGUAAUCAGAAGAGGGCUCUAAACAAUGGAUUCACUGGACAUGGCACUGCAUGUGUGUAAACUUGCAAGUUACCGGUAUCUCAGGGUGUCAUGGAUCUUUUUGCAGGAAAGAGAUCUUCUGUGUGGAUCUCUCCACAUGUGGGGAGAGGUCUGCAGCUAUGGCCCUUCAAAAGUCCUGGGGCAGUGUGGAGGCCAGGGAUCACCAAGGAACACUCCUGAGAGACUCACUGGGAACCUACAGAAUCCAGGCAAGACAAAGAAAGCCUUUCUUUUCUUCUGUUGGUAGAGUUCAAGGCCAUCAGUCAGACCCACGGUCAAAAGCUGAUUCCUCCAAGCUCUGAUCAUUGGCACAGUCCUUAAGCUGCUGCAUGGCUCUUGACAGACAUCCUCCUUCCAUGCAGCCUGACCCAGGUUGGGACAACCUCAUUUGUGAAUGGAAAAAGACCUUAACAGCAGUUUGCAAAGUGAUUUUUAGGAGUCCUGGGACUGCUCAUACUGGAUUUCUUCAUCUCUGCAUCACUUAGGAAGGUGUACUAGAGUUAGUGUGUUUGUCCUUUUCUCCGUGUAUGUUAUAUAUCUGUAGUAUACAUCAGUUAUUAAACAGAAGGCUCCAGAGUUAGUUGUCACUGUCCCCAGACCCCGAGAAGCAAGGAUCAUGGCAGUGCAGCGAAGUCCUGGCUCCCAGGGAGUCUGCACUUAGGGACCGUGCUGUCUCCCAAGGCCCUGAGUGCAGUGGACCUGCUGUGCUUGGCUGCAGAGCCCUUUCUGCUCCCUUUCCUCCCUCGUUAUAUCCUCUGACCUACUGCUGACAGGUGGGAGAACAGGCCAAGGGCCUUUGGCAGGCUCCCCAGCCAAGAUGCAGAAAGGGCCUGGACUCAGCAGGCCACUGCAGGCAGGGCAGAGCUGAAUCCAUGAGUAUGGAAGGGGACAUUCUGGCAGCUGGGUGGCCCUGGGCUCUUGCUCACCUGGUACGUGCACUAUCUGUCUGUUCACUCCUUAGGGCUGUUCUGUCACCCAAAGGCCAUGCAGAAAGCCAUCUUGGCUUUGCUCCCCCUCCCAUGCCAGACUUUUCUGGACCCCUACCAAUGUGGGAAAGAGGGCACCCCUCUACCCUCUGAUGUUCACUGAUUGUCUUCCAGCUCUGAGCAGUGUGGCUCCUCAUUGGCUCUGCUGGGGACCGGAAGCUCUCAGCUCCCUGUAUGCCAUGUGUUACUGGCCCUUGGCAGAGCAAGUGCCAGAUGCAGGAUGAUCUCUAGGAGGACACACUGGAGACAGGCAUGUUCAUGUUGUAAAUGGGUAGAAAUUGAAUUUGGCCCUGGAUUAUGAAUGAUGUCUGUCACGCUCCACCCUAUGGUAGGACAGUUAGAGGAGAGCUCACUUAUUUCAACUUAGGCAUGCCUAAGUCCUCCAUGUGUUUGGAUGCCGGUUUCCUCCUGCAGUCACUGUGACGGAGCUUGCAGUGGGCCUGGUCUGCCAAAGAGCUGGCCUAGGUACCAGGCUGUUCUGCUUGGCAGCUCUGAGCCAGGGGUGCCUACCCAUCAGGGGUAAGCCCCAGGUGUGUAUUUGCUUUCUUCUGCGAACCUCAGUUUGCAUUCUGAUCAGCACCUAUUAGCCACCACACUAUACAUAUGGUCCUAAGCAAGCCGUCUACCUUCUCUGUGACUCUGCUCCUUUAUACUUGAAAGAGACAAUGAAACAUCUCCCCAGGAGUUUCUGAGAUGAUUAAGUGGACAGUUGUAAAAGCACCUCACUGGGCAUGCCACAUGUGUGAGCUGCUUUCUUGCAUCAGGAAACAGGGUACAGAUUUUACGUGUGGCCCCACUAGACAGGAUGUGGGUGGGUGCAAUGGGGCUGGGGUCAUAGAGAAGAAAGGGGGAAGUGCCCUCUGUCCUUAAGCCCCCAGACUCACCAGGAGCCCUAGGUUGCUGCUGCCUCCUGAUACCCCUGGGGACACUAUGAACAUCCUGGGGAGAGCAUGUCACUGAGGCUUGGGAGCUGAACCCAGGAGGAUACCAGCAUAUCAAGCAGGCCUGUAUCUGAAAAAGGUAGCUGGAGCCAGGAGAUCUCUGCAGUGCAGUGCUUGGAAUUGUCAGCUCUGCAGAUGAAGUGCAUGGCUCCAUUGGGGCCCAUGCAAGGCAGAAUCCAGCCUUAGUCUCAGUGAGUGCAUCCUGGGCUGGGGUCAGGCCACAUUUCAUUCUUCAUCAUGGUCAGUGCAAUGAAGACAAAACAAGUAUGCAAAAAUUACACUCAAAAGGGACAAAUAUAAAGGAUAGGAUUUUCCAGUGAUAUUAGUUUCUAGGUAUAAUAUCCAUGUAAGUGAAUAAAUUAUAUUGGAUUUCCUAGUUAUGGAAUCUAAUACUUACCAAAAAAACCAUUUAUACACAUUAGUGAUAAGACUCUACUACACAAAAUUUUGAAAAUUGAUUUUGUAACAGUUAAAAAUCAUUAAAUAUGUAGUGAUAUGACCUGAAGCCAUUUUGAAAGACACCAGAAUUAAACCAUUGAAAUACCUCUUUGACAAUAAAGUUUAAGCAAGUGGUUGCAGAAAGCAAGUUCAUAACUGGAGAGACUCAAAAAUGGAAUGGCUUAAUAUUAAAUAUGUGUUUUCAUAUGUAUGGUAUUUUGCCACCAAAUUAUGUGGACUUCCAGGUAUGAGAUUUUACAUUGAUUAUCUUGGGAAUCACUUGUGAAGACUUGAUUUAUAUCAAAUAAAAGAUAACAGUGUAGGAAGUAAUAAAGGGAGAGCCUUUAUUCCUGUGUAAAAAAGAACAUUUUUAUGAAUAUGUCAGGUUUAAAAGGACAUUACACACCAAAUAAUAUUAUUUAAAAGUUAUGCUUAAUAUACUUAUCUUUUUGGGGGGUCCAGAAGCAGGUAGAAAAUGAAAUGUGGUAAUGCAUGCCUAGAAUCCAGAGUUUUGUAACACUGAGUAAAGAGGACUUUAAGUCAGAAAAUAGCCUUGGUGACAUAAUGACUUAAGAGGAUUGUUAAUCAAAAUAAUAAAAUUUAAAAGGGCUUGGAAUAUGUCUCAAAAUUUGUGAGAUCAGUCGCAUAUUCUGAAAGAGAAAGAAAAGAAAAAAAUUAAAAAGUGACAAUUUAGUUGAAAUUCAGUGAUUUUCUAGGGAUGGAUCUGUGACAAAAAGAAAUUAUUAGCAUAUGAAAGUAGGUAUGGAUCACUGUGUGGAGUAUCUGGUUAAUCAAUACACAAACACUCAGAGAAACCACAAGAAGCUGUGAGAUUUCUAGAUUAUGAAGCCUCCUUGGGAAAAGUACUGGUUGGCACUGCCCUGAGUCUCAAUGUUCUCACAGCUCUGGUUCUUCCAUGUAUGUAAAGCACUGAGACACUCCCAUCGUCAAGGCCAAUAACCAAGUUUUCAGCUACAACCUGCUCACCUCCUUCACCUUCUGUUUCCUCUGCUCCUUGCUCUUCAUUGAUCAUCCCAACAAAGUCACCUGCAUCCUCCAGCAUAUCACAUUUGCAAUUGUCUUCCCUGUCUCUAUUUCCAAACCAUCACUGAAAUGCUGGCCUUUAAAGUCACUGCUCCAGGGAGAAGAAUGAGGCAGUUGAUGGUAUCAGAGGCACCAAAAUACAUCAUCCUCAUCUGCAUCCUGAUCUAGCUCACUCUCUGUGGAGUCUGGGUGGGAACAAAUCCACACUACAUUGACACAGAUGCACACUCUGAGGAUGGCUUCAUCAUCAUAGUGUGCAACAAUGGUUCUCUGACCGUCUUCUACUUUGUCCUAAGAUAACUGGUUUCCCUGAUCAUGCUCAGCUUCAUUGUGGUUUUCCAGGUCACCACUGAAGAUGUCAGGAACCUGGAUGACACCUUCAGUGAAACCAAAUUUCUGCCAUGUUACUGUUUUUCAGUGUGUGCAUCACCUUCCUUCCUGUCUACUUCAGCAGCAGGGCAAGGAGAUGGUGACUAUGGAGGUCUUCUCCAUCUUAGCUCCCAGUGCAGGGCUGCUUGGCUGUAUUUUUGUCUGCAAGUGCUAUAUUAUUUUGUUAAGACCAGAGAGAAAUUCUCUUACUAGUAUCAGGGACAAAGCACAUUCUGUGAGAAAGGAGCUUUCUUAUCAUUACACACAGUUGUCUUCUUAUAUAUACUUGUCCUGAAGUCAAAGCUGAACCAUAUUUACAGUCAGAUACUGUAUUAUACUAUAGAACUUAUAUCCUUACUAGAUUAUGCAACUUCUUUUAUCUAAUAGUAUAAUGGUCCAGUAGAAGCUGUAGUCUUAAUGUCUUUAAAUUCAAUUUUAUUCUUGAUACAUUAUUUCCUAUUUAUGAUGGAAUUCAUCCUAUAUUUUCUGAUUAAAUUAUUGACAUUUUUCUUGUCUUCCUUUGGCUUUGCCAGCAUUUUCUCUCAUUUUAAAAAGGUAAUAACUUUUGUCUUGUAUGGCACUGGGUUUCUGAAUCGUUUUUUCUUUCAAAAGAAGAGCCUGUCUUCAAUAUACUGAUUAUACUACAUUUCAGUAGUUGUAGAUAUACUUGUCUUGUCACAUUUCCAUUUUGCAAUUAGCUUCGUUGCUUUUUAGCAUUCUGUCUCACAUGGCUUUUAGGAUUAUGGAAUUGGCUGGUAAUAUGGAAGUAAAAACACUGCUGAUUAUGUGAUAUCAAUGUAAUCAAUUUAUAGACUAUUUUGUGGAAGAACUUGGAGAUAUGCAGUAGAUUAAUGUCCCAACCCAUAUUUGUAUUUUCUUUUAUUGUUUAUAACUAUCCUUAGUGACAGCUAUGUAUGUGCAUAAUGUACAUUUAUGUUAUACUACAUAUAUUUAUACAAUAAACUUU